GUCACAUCUACUACUGAUAGACUCCUGUGUGGACAUUUCCAGAAUAUACUCGAACAAUGACAUUGGUUGCUGUAGUGUUACCUUUCCUCUUCUGUGUAGCAUUAUUGUCUGAUGGGUAUUUGACAGAGGCUAUAGAGCUUUGUAGUCAACGACAGGAUGAAAACGGAGGAUGCUUAGGGAUAGUACGUACGAAACAUAUUACAGACAAAAUCGUAAGGAGAAGCAGGAAUGCUGAAGAAUUGGCUAUACCUCCAAAAUAAUGACUUGUAACAUUUCGUGUAACACGUCAAAAAAUAGAAGGAAUAAAUAAUUUCCAUAGUA
Molecule: long non-coding RNA, 321 nt
Organism: Pecten maximus
Lineage: Eukaryota; Metazoa; Mollusca; Bivalvia; Pectinida; Pectinidae
Exons: 2
Source: RefSeq, a predicted model, not a curated record